Molecule: ribosomal RNA, 253 nt
Filed under: uncultured bacterium
Lineage: Bacteria
Description: partial 16S ribosomal RNA
Rfam family: Bacterial small subunit ribosomal RNA
Source: RNAcentral
UACGGGGGGGGCAAGCGUUGUUCGGAAUUACUGGGCGUAAAGGGCUCGUAGGCGGCCAACUAAGUCCGACGUGAAAUCCCCAGGCUUAACCUGGGAACUGCGUCGGAUACUGGAUGGCUUGAAUUCGGGAGAGGGAUGCAGAAUUCCAGGUGUAGCGGUGAAAUGCGUAGAUAUCUGGAGGAAUAUCGGUGGCGAAGGCGGCAUCCUGGACCGACAUUGACGCUGAUGAGCGAAAGCUAGGGGAGCAAACGGG